GAGGAUAUAGCUCAGUGGUAGAGUGCAUGCUUAGCAUAAAUGAGGUCCUGGGUUCAAUCCCCAGUAUCUCCA
Molecule: transfer RNA, 72 nt
Organism: Camelus ferus (Wild Bactrian camel)
Lineage: Eukaryota; Metazoa; Chordata; Mammalia; Artiodactyla; Camelidae
Rfam family: tRNA
About the family: Transfer RNA (tRNA) molecules are approximately 80 nucleotides in length. Their secondary structure includes four short double-helical elements and three loops (D, anti-codon, and T loops).
Source: Rfam